CGGACGGGUGAGUAACGCGUGGGGAACCUGCCCCAUACCGGGGGAUAACAGCGGGAAACCGCUGCUAAUACCGCAUAAGCGCACACUGAGGCAUCUCAGAGUGUGAAAAACUCCGGUGGUAUGGGAUGGACCCGCGUUGGAUUAGCCAGUUGGCGGGGUAACGGCCCACCAAAGCGACGAUCCAUAGCCGGCCUGAGAGGGUGAACGGCCACAUUGGGACUGAGACACGGCCCAGACUCCUACGGGAGGCAGCAGUGAGGAAUAUUGGACAAUGGAGGCAACUCUGAUCCAGCCAUGCCGCGUGAAGGACGAAGGCCCUAUGGGUCGUAAACUUCUUUUGUCGUAGAGCAAUAAGGUGUACGCGUACAUCGAUGAGAGUAUACGACGAAUAAGCAUCGGCUAACUCCGUGCCAGCAGCCGCGGUAAUACGGAGGAUGCAAGCGUUAUCCGGAUUUAUUGGGUUUAAAGGGUGCGUAGGCGGACGUAUAAGUCAGCGGUGAAAGGUACCGGCUCAACCGGUGAGCUGCCGUUGAAACUGUGCGACUGGAAUGCGGAUGCCGUGGGAGGAAUGUGUGGUGUAGCGGUGAAAUGCUUAGAUAUCACACAGAACACCGAUUGCGAAGGCAUCUCACGAAUCCGUUAUUGACGCUGAGGCACGAAGGCGUGGGGAUCAAACAGGAUUAGAUACCCUGGUAGUCCACGCGGUAAACGAUGAUGGCUAACUGCCGGCGAUAUAGUGUCGGUGGCCAAGCGAAAGCGAUAAGCCAUCCACCUGGGGAGUACGACCGCAAGGUUGAAACUCAAAGGAAUUGACGGGGGCCCGCACAAGCGGAGGAACAUGUGGUUUAAUUCGAUGAUACGCGAGGAACCUUACCCGGGCUCGAACGGCUAGUGAACGACUCAGAGAUGAGAAGGUCCUUCGGGACACUAGUCGAGGUGGUGCAUGGUUGUCGUCAGCUCGUGCCGUGAGGUGUCGGCUUAAGUGCCAUAACGAGCGCAACCCUUGUCGCUAGUUACCAUCAAGUAGUGUUGGGGACUCUAGCGAGACUGCCACCGCAAGGUGAGAGGAAGGCGGGGAUGACGUCAAAUCAGCACGGCCCUUACGUCCGGGGCGACACACGUGUUACAAUGGCGGUUACAGAGG
RNAcentral lists this ribosomal RNA (1144 nucleotides) under uncultured bacterium. Its description in RNAcentral is "bacterial SSU rRNA". It matches the Rfam family "Bacterial small subunit ribosomal RNA", at positions 99 to 1245 of the family's 1533-position model. The record is from RNAcentral.